This 1405-nucleotide ribosomal RNA is filed under the name uncultured bacterium. Its description in RNAcentral is "partial 16S ribosomal RNA". It matches the Rfam family "Bacterial small subunit ribosomal RNA". The record is from RNAcentral.
AGAGUUUGAUCCUGGCUCAGGAUGAACGCUGGCGGCGUGCUUAACACAUGCAAGUCGAGCGAAGCAGUUAAGAAGAUUCUUCGGAUGAAACUUGAUUGACUGAGCGGCGGACGGGUGAGUAACGCGUGGGUGACCUGCCCCAUACCGGGGGAUAACAGCUGGAAACGGCUGCUAAUACCGCAUAAGCGCACAGAGCUGCAUAGCUCAGUGUGAAAAACUCCGGUGGUAUGGGAUGGGCCCGCGUCUGAUUAGGCAGUUGGCGGGGUAACGGCCCACCAAACCGACGAUCAGUAGCCGGCCUGAGAGGGCGACCGGCCACAUUGGGACUGAGACACGGCCCAAACUCCUACGGGAGGCAGCAGUGGGGAAUAUUGGUCAAUGGGCGAGAGCCUGAACCAGCCAAGUAGCGUGAAGGAUGACUGCCCUAUGGGUUGUAAACUUCUUUUAUAAAGGAAUAAAGUCGGGUAUGGAUACCCGUUUGCAUGUACUUUAUGAAUAAGGAUCGGCUAACUCCGUGCCAGCAGCCGCGGUAAUACGGAGGAUCCGAGCGUUAUCCGGAUUUAUUGGGUUUAAAGGGAGCGUAGAUGGAUGUUUAGGUCAGUUGUGAAAGUUCGCGGCUCAACCGUAAAAUUGCAGUUGAUACUGGAUAUCUUGAGUGCAGUUGAGGCAGGCGGAAUUCGUGGUGUAGCGGUGAAAUGCUUAGAUAUCACGAAGAACUCCGAUUGCGAAGGCAGCCUGCUAAGCUGCAACUGACAUUGAGGCUCGAAAGUGUGGGUAUCAAACAGGAUUAGAUACCCUGGUAGUCCACACGGUAAACGAUGAAUACUCGCUGUUUGCGAUAUACAGCAAGCGGCCAAGCGAAAGCGUUAAGUAUUCCACCUGGGGAGUACGCCGGCAACGGUGAAACUCAAAGGAAUUGACGGGGGCCCGCACAAGCGGAGGAACAUGUGGUUUAAUUCGAUGAUACGCGAGGAACCUUACCCGGGCUUAAAUUGCAGGUGAAUUACGGUGAAAGCCGUAAGCCGCAAGGCAUCUGUGAAGGUGCUGCAUGGUUGUCGUCAGCUCGUGCCGUGAGGUGUCGGCUUAAGUGCCAUAACGAGCGCAACCCUUGUUGUCAGUUACUAACAGGUUCCGCUGAGGACUCUGACAAGACUGCCAUCGUAAGAUGUGAGGAAGGUGGGGAUGACGUCAAAUCAGCACGGCCCUUACGUCCGGGGCUACACACGUGUUACAAUGGGGGGUACAGAGGGCCGCUACCACGCGAGUGGAUGCCAAUCCCCAAAACCUCUCUCAGUUCGGACUGGAGUCUGCAACCCGACUCCACGAAGCUGGAUUCGCUAGUAAUCGCGCAUCAGCCACGGCGCGGUGAAUACGUUCCCGGGCCUUGUACACACCGCCCGUCAAG